AACGAACGCUGGCGGCAGGCUUAACACAUGCAAGUCGAACGCCCCGCAAGGGGCGUGGCCGACGGGUGAGUAACGCGUGGGAACAUACCCUUUCCUGCGGAAUAGCUCCGGGAAACUGGAAUUAAUACCGCAUACGCCCUACGGGGGAAAGAUUUAUCGGGGAAGGAUUGGCCCGCGUUGGAUUAGCUAGUUGGUGGGGUAAAGGCCUACCAAGGCGACGAUCCAUAGCUGGUCUGAGAGGAUGAUCAGCCACAUUGGGACUGAGACACGGCCCAAACUCCUACGGGAGGCAGCAGUGGGGAAUAUUGGACAAUGGGCGCAAGCCUGAUCCAGCCAUGCCGCGUGAGUGAUGAAGGCCUUAGGGUUGUAAAGCUCUUUCACCGAUGAAGAUAAUGACGGUAGUCGGAGAAGAAGCCCCGGCUAACUUCGUG
RNAcentral lists this ribosomal RNA (431 nucleotides) under uncultured bacterium. RNAcentral's name for it is "partial 16S ribosomal RNA". It matches the Rfam family "Bacterial small subunit ribosomal RNA", at positions 29 to 507 of the family's 1533-position model. The record is from RNAcentral.